RNAcentral lists this long non-coding RNA (235 nucleotides) under Linum usitatissimum (flax). RNAcentral describes it as "long non-coding RNA (LUSI_LNC000516)". Lineage: Eukaryota; Viridiplantae; Streptophyta; Magnoliopsida; Malpighiales; Linaceae. The record is from RNAcentral.
CCAUUCGAGCAGUAACUAGUUAUCGAUCUCCGUACCAUAAUUGCCCAGUAUCUUCUUCUCCCCAAGCUGCGUGCCCAAUUUUUCCCUCACCGGUGAAGGAAGAGACCAAACGAGAGAUCGCGUAGCUGGCAGACAACAGUCCUGCAGUUUUAGAGACCCAAUUGUCUUAAACUUAUGGUCCAAUAUAUAAAAUUUUAUCAUUUCGAGAAUAAAAACAAGCCAAGUAAAAUAUAAU